Long non-coding RNA from Aegilops tauschii subsp. strangulata, 1184 nucleotides. RefSeq lists it as uncharacterized. NCBI's taxonomy places the organism in Eukaryota, Viridiplantae, Streptophyta, Magnoliopsida, Poales, Poaceae. The record is from RefSeq and is a predicted model, not a curated record.
CAGCCCCAGCACUGCCCAAUCCCCACUCGGCCGUUCCCCAAGUCCCCAACCUAACCUAGCGCCUGUGGCCAGCGGCGGCGGCCAGUACCGACUGCAGGCAGCGGCAAGCGGAGCCACUGAACGGGCGACCAGCGGCAGCAGACCAGGUGGAUUUGUAGUGCAGUCAAAUUGGACAAAUUGCUGCUAGUGAUGGAUUUGAACGCAACGAGUUACUGCCUACUAGUGCUGGAUUUGAUUAGUCUGAAGGUGGGUAUUCUGGGUUAAAGUUUUGGGGACAAAUUGCUGCUUGUGUUGCUGUCAAAUAUGCACACCACUCUGCUAGUGCCUACUGAGUGCGCGAAAAUAUUAUUGGUUGAAUAAUUUGGUACAACUCCUCUGCUGUUCAUGAUGUUGUAGAAUGGUUACAUUUGUUGAGGGAGAAUUUUUUGAUCAAGUGAAGGAUGAAGAUGUCAUCAAUCUCUUCCAAAAAGGCGACCGCAAAGUUAUAUUGUCAGAAGGAUAUCAUCACUUUAUCAAUCAAAAGUAAACAGAGAUGACAAGCAUCAUUAGGAGAGUUUCACUGUAGCCUAAUUAUCCGGGCGUUACACGUUGAGAUCACCUUCGGCUCCGAGCUCGAUGUCUUCUUCAAGCUCCCGUGCCACCUCGUGGAUGCAGAGCCCGGCGCGCAUGCAAAUGCCGAUCUUCGUCUGGCCGCGAUGCCGGGCAGGCGUUGAUCGGAGGGUUUCUCACACACCGAAGAACCAUAAUCGUCCGUACUACGUGUGCAGCGAGAAUGGGGUGAAAUGUUUCUUCCUUUUGGUCGAUGCUCUGGCCAAGACUCUGAUGAAUGAACUGCAAGAAGAGCAUGAAGAAUGGUUGCCCAUGCUGCCACGAACGGUAGUGGCCGCAGCACGAGCUUCGGAAGAAGAGAUGGAGGGCGAAGCACGCAAUGACAGAGAGCUAGCUGUUGAGCUUUAAUGUUGAAGAAGAAGGUUAGGAAGCUCGAAUAUCAAGCACAAAUACCCAUUUGCAAUUACUUUUGGGAAUUUGUAGGUAUGGUAAUCGCACUGGGUGUAAUGUUGAAAUUGUAUGGAAAGGCAUGAAUUAUGGAGGAAUUUGUAAGCUUGAAAUUGUAUGAGAAAUUCACCUUGUUUAAAUGUUGAAAAAAGGGAGAAGAAAUGACCAACAUUUAAAUAUGUUGAAAA